Molecule: ribosomal RNA, 439 nt
Filed under: uncultured bacterium
Lineage: Bacteria
Description: bacterial SSU rRNA
Rfam family: Bacterial small subunit ribosomal RNA
Source: RNAcentral
ACGCGAGGAACCUUACCAGGUCUUGACAUCCUCUGACACUCCUAGAGAUAGGACGUUCCCCUUCGGGGGACAGAGUGACAGGUGGUGCAUGGUUGUCGUCAGCUCGUGUCGUGAGAUGUUGGGUUAAGUCCCGCAACGAGCGCAACCCUUGAUCUUAGUUGCCAGCAUUUAGUUGGGCACUCUAAGGUGACUGCCGGUGACAAACCGGAGGAAGGUGGGGAUGACGUCAAAUCAUCAUGCCCCUUAUGACCUGGGCUACACACGUGCUACAAUGGAUGGUACAAAGGGCUGCAAGACCGCGAGGUUUAGCCAAUCCCAUAAAACCAUUCUCAGUUCGGGUUGUAGGCUGCAACUCGCCUACAUGAAGCCGGAAUCGCUAGUAAUCGCGGAUCAGCAUGCCGCGGUGAAUACGUUCCCGGGCCUUGCACACACCGCCCGU